Molecule: long non-coding RNA, 1137 nt
Filed under: Oryza sativa aus subgroup
Lineage: Eukaryota; Viridiplantae; Streptophyta; Magnoliopsida; Poales; Poaceae
Description: lncRNA OsNaBo_05g0022480
Source: RNAcentral
AUGGCGGUGGGGAUUGGGGGUGACAGGGAGGCGGAGACUGGGGACGCCAAGGAGGAGGCUAGUGUGGUGGAAACUGGGAUGACUGAGGAAGCCAUUGAUGAGCUUGCUGUUGUUUGGGUCAAAAUCUUUGGCAUUCCCAAGUCAGCUAGAAAUGAGGAUGCAGUGAAAGCUAUAGUUGAGCUGGUGGGUGAGUUUGAGGCUCUUGACAACUUGUCUUUGAGGAGAGAUGGUCCUGUGAGAGUGAGGGUGGCUUGUAAAGACCCUAGAGAGCUUCACUUUGUGAUACAUGUCUACAUUAACAAAGUGGGAUAUAAGAUUAGAUGGGAACCAGAGGGAUUUGCCCCCUAUGAGAACAAAAACUCAUCCCCUCCAGAGGAUGGAGAUGAUGAUGACAAAGGUGAUGAAGGAAAUGAGGACAUGAAUGUCGAUGAAGACUUCAAUAACCAAAGCCCUAUGAGAGGUCGACAGAACAAGGAUAACAGCUCUCAGAUGGGGGGUAGGGGUCAGCUGCACACUGCUCCCCCAGCAUACAAAGGGAAAACUUAUCAACAAGAUUCAUGCAGAAGUUUGGUAAAAAAGAUGGCAUGCAAGAAGCUGAGCCUGUUGGAGUGUGUUGACUCUGGGAGUAAGGACCUCGUUCUUUGGGAGGGUGAACCAGAGGAAGUGCAAGAAUAUCAAGAGUUGGAGCUGCCUCUCAGUGGUCAGUUCACCCUGAGAGGAGGAGAUGAGGAAAAAAUGAUCUCAACUAAUGACUCCCAAGAGAAAUGUGACAUCCCUACCUUGUCAGAUAUUGAGAGGUUGAGGGAGGAAGAAGAGUUUGAAGAAGAAGACUCUUUCAAAGAAGUGUCAUACAAGAAGAGACCCAAGAAAAGGGUGGAACCGGUUGUCACUUCUAGGAUGAGCCUCAGAAACAGGGAGAUGGCGACUGUACCAAUUCCUAAAAGAGCUGAAUUGUUAACUCAAAAGAAGAAUCUAGAGUGCACAGGGAAGAAUGUUGUGGAUGUUAGUAGUAACAUAGAUACCAUUAAGGCAAAAGAGCUAGUUCAAGCCAAGCUGGCUGAAUUGAGAUGGAAACAGGAAAAGGAGAAAGAGGAAGUCCCAGUCAAUGAGAGUUUGAGAAACUCAUCAGUGGAGGUA